UACGUACUGGGCGAACGUUAUUCGGAAUCACGGGGCUUAAAGGGUGCGUAGGCGGCUUUCCAGGUCCGGUGUGAAAUCUCUCGGCUCAACCGAGAAAUUGCGCUGGAAACCGGAAGGCUUGAGUAGGCUAGGGGUGUGGGGAACUUCCAUGGGAGCGGUGAAAUGUGUUGAUAUUGGAAGGAACGCCGGUGGCGAAAGCGACACACUGGGGCCUAACUGACGCUGAGGCACGAAAGCUAGGGUAGCGAACGGG
This 253-nucleotide unclassified non-coding RNA is filed under the name uncultured Planctomycetales bacterium. Its description in RNAcentral is "contains 16S-23S intergenic spacer region". It matches the Rfam family "Bacterial small subunit ribosomal RNA", at positions 524 to 776 of the family's 1533-position model. The record is from RNAcentral. Lineage: Bacteria; Pseudomonadati; Planctomycetota; Planctomycetia; Planctomycetales.